This 45-nucleotide non-coding RNA is filed under the name Schistosoma haematobium. The record is from RNAcentral. Lineage: Eukaryota; Metazoa; Platyhelminthes; Trematoda; Strigeidida; Schistosomatidae.
AUCCAGCUGAAGAGUCUUAAAUAGGACGAAACGCGCAUCCUGGAU